This 564-nucleotide ribosomal RNA is filed under the name Triticum aestivum (bread wheat). Its description in RNAcentral is "partial small subunit ribosomal RNA". The record is from RNAcentral. Lineage: Eukaryota; Viridiplantae; Streptophyta; Magnoliopsida; Poales; Poaceae.
AUGGAUUCCUUCGUGAACACCGGUAAGGAAUGGCUCCUUCAUGCGCUCUACGCCAUGGAUCUCCUCGGCGGGAUGUAUCGCUAUGCCAUCCAAGGUUCUUGUGCCACCCGGGAUAUGAUUUUCAAGGAAACUUCGCCAUUCGUGGCAUAUAAUGGAUACCUAUCCAAGACAUCAUGUGGCAGUGUGCUGCAAAUAUGGAGGGUCAAGAGGAAAACAAGGGGGGAGCAAGAAGAGAUGCAUACAGUUGAUAUUGAGGUGUACAUGACUGACCUUGACAAGCAGCAGAUAGUUCGUGUGCGGACGUUGGGGGAUUACGCGUUGUUCAUCGGGCACAACUAUACUUGUUGCCUUUCCACACAGGACUACCCAGGGCUUCUGCGGAACCAUGUCUAUUUUACGGACGAUGACGAGUAUUGGCUGAUAGAUUCGAAAGACAAUCGUCGGGAUGUUGGAAUACUAGAUUUGGAGGAUUUAAGUGCCACUGAUGUUGUAUCUCCUCAACCAUGGUUGAAUUGGCCAAUUCCCGUAUGGAUCACUCCAAGUUUUAAUAAGAUCCAUAAAUAG